This 69-nucleotide transfer RNA is filed under the name Marmota monax (woodchuck). RNAcentral describes it as "tRNA.Val". It matches the Rfam family "tRNA". Rfam says of the family: Transfer RNA (tRNA) molecules are approximately 80 nucleotides in length. Their secondary structure includes four short double-helical elements and three loops (D, anti-codon, and T loops). Lineage: Eukaryota; Metazoa; Chordata; Mammalia; Rodentia; Sciuridae. The record is from RNAcentral.
GGGGUUGUGGCUCAGAGGUAGAGCACUCACCUAACAUGGGAGACACUGGGUUCGAUCCUCAGCACCACA